This 506-nucleotide ribosomal RNA is filed under the name uncultured bacterium. Its description in RNAcentral is "partial 16S ribosomal RNA". It matches the Rfam family "Bacterial small subunit ribosomal RNA", at positions 29 to 523 of the family's 1533-position model. The record is from RNAcentral.
AGUGAACGCUGGCGGUAGGCCUAACACAUGCAAGUCGAACGGCAGCACAGGAGAGCUUGCUCUCUGGGUGGCGAGUGGCGGACGGGUGAGGAAUACAUCGGAAUCUACUCUGUCGUGGGGGAUAACGUAGGGAAACUUACGCUAGUACCGCAUACGACCUACGGGUGAAAGCAGGGGACCUUCGGGCCUUGCGCGAUUGAAUGAGCCGAUGUCGGAUUAGCUAGUUGGCGGGGUAAAGGCCCACCAAGGCGACGAUCCGUAGCUGGUCUGAGAGGAUGAUCAGCCACACUGGAACUGAGACACGGUCCAGACUCCUACGGGAGGCAGCAGUGGGGAAUAUUGGACAAUGGGCGCAAGCCUGAUCCAGCCAUACCGCGUGGGUGAAGAAGGCCUUCGGGUUGUAAAGCCCUUUUGUUGGGAAAGAAAUCCAGCUGGCUAAUACCCGGUUGGGAUGACGGUACCCAAAGAAUAAGCACCGGCUAACUACGUGCCAGCCGCCGCAGUAA